CUGCAAAUGGCAAAGCCUCGAAAUAAAUAAAGCCAAUAAACAAACAAACAAACAAACAAAUAAACAGAGAUUGUUUGUUUGUUUGUUUGUUUUC
RNAcentral lists this non-coding RNA (94 nucleotides) under Aurantiochytrium limacinum. Lineage: Eukaryota; Bigyra; Thraustochytrida; Thraustochytriidae. The record is from RNAcentral.